This 329-nucleotide transfer RNA is filed under the name Rosa chinensis. Its description in RNAcentral is "sRNA RchiOBHm_CPg0502491". The stretch from base 159 to 246 matches the Rfam family "tRNA". Lineage: Eukaryota; Viridiplantae; Streptophyta; Magnoliopsida; Rosales; Rosaceae. The record is from RNAcentral.
GGCGGGCCCGGCUAAGUACUGACCGGGCCGGGCCGUGGAACUAAAAAGCCCCUUCGGACGAAAUCACGAAAUCAAAAAAUAAGAGUAUAUACUAUGACGGGCGUUUUCAAGCCUUAUUUUUUAUAAUGUAACAUAGUAUUAUCCUUUUUCAAUUGAGAGGAGAGAUGGCUGAGUGGACUAAAGCGUCGGAUUGCUAAUCCGUUGUACGAGUUUUUCGUACCGAGGGUUCGAAUCCCUCUCUUUCCGUUUUCAUUGAUGACUUGGCAUUUUCUUUCGAAUUUAUCGCGAGCUCUUUUUUAUUAUAUUAUUUUUAUUAUUAUUAUAUAGUU